This 77-nucleotide transfer RNA is filed under the name Opitutia bacterium. RNAcentral describes it as "tRNA-Asp". It matches the Rfam family "tRNA". From Rfam's summary of the family: Transfer RNA (tRNA) molecules are approximately 80 nucleotides in length. Their secondary structure includes four short double-helical elements and three loops (D, anti-codon, and T loops). Lineage: Bacteria; Pseudomonadati; Verrucomicrobiota; Opitutia. The record is from RNAcentral.
GGGGUAGUAGCUCAGUUGGUUAGAGCGCCGGCCUGUCACGCCGGAGGUCGCGGGAUCAAGUCCCGUCUAUCCCGCCA